Molecule: ribosomal RNA, 359 nt
Filed under: uncultured bacterium
Lineage: Bacteria
Description: bacterial SSU rRNA
Rfam family: Bacterial small subunit ribosomal RNA
Source: RNAcentral
AGAGUUUGAUCCUGGCUCAGGAUGAACGACUAGCUACAGGCUUAACACAUGCAAGUCGAGGGGAAACGAUAUUGGAAGCUUGUCUUCCGAUAGGCGUCGACCGGCGUACGGGUGGAGUAAUGCGUAUCCAACCUGCCCACCACUUGGGGAUAACCUUGCGAAAGUAAGACUAAUACCCAAUGACGUCUCUAGAAGACAUCUGAAAGAGAUUAAAGAUUUAUCGGUGAUGGAUGGGGAUGCGUCUGAUUAGCUUGUUGGCGGGGUAACGGCCCACCAAGGCGACGAUCAGUAGGGGUUCUGAGAGGAAGGCCCCCCACAUUGGAACUGAGACACGGUCCAAACUCCUACGGGAGGCAGCA